GCAAAAAUGCCCAAAAUCUUAAAAAAAAAUCUAAUAAAUUGUACAGGUUUGGAACAGUUAUAGAUUAUGACAGUCUGUUUAAGCCUUAAAAAUAUGAAUCAUUUAAAAGGUAAUUAAAAAGUUUUAUCUCUGAAUUCUGACUUAUUUCUCUCACAAUUAUGGAUUUAUAACUCAAAAUUAGUGUUUUAUUUUUAUUUAUUUAUAUUGCAGUUUUGUGAAAAAUUCUGAUAGAAUUGUGAGAUAUAAACUCACAAUAUUGUGAAAAAAAGAAUUGUGAAAAAAAAGUGAGUUGUAAACACAGGAGUCAGAAUUGUGAGUUGUGAGGCAAAAGAAAGUCUGAAUUCAGAGUUGCGAGAAACAAAGUCUGAAUUGUCAAAUAUAAACCAAGAACUGCCAGGACUACCUGCGGAAUAGGCUUCUAUAUGAGUUCCUUUAAUUAACUAUCAUUAGAGGAACAAAUCAUCCAAAAUUGAACAUUUAGUCUCAUUUUUUUUUCCAGACUUUGGAAGUAAAUGGCUACCAUCGGCUGUUUGGUUACCAGCAUUCUUCAAAAUAUCCUCUUUUGUGUUCAUUAGAAAAAGAAACUCAAACAGGUUUGGAACAACAUGAGGGUGAGAAAAUGAAGACAGAAUUUUCAUUUUUGGGUGAACUAUCCCUUUAAACUUCAGUGCAAGGCUUGAUCACACCAAGGACGAAAACUAUGACAAUAACGACAACCAGGUUUCUGGCAGCCAAUCAGAGCUGAAGCAUUUCAAGCGUUAGACGACAUAGGCCUAAAACCAUGUGCUAUACUAAAUGGAUGAAAUAUUAUUUUUUAUUGCAUGGAUUGGAUUGUUUUACCAUCCCAGAUCAGUGCGACUAACUUAGUCCUUCUUCCCAGUAGCAAUAUGGUCUAUUUUGUGCAUUUAUAUAUGUGUCACUUUCAGCCACAGGUAAAAACCAGCUACAUCUGCGGUCGCGCUCUUAGUCAUAUCUCCAUAGCAACAGCUUGUGACCUCAGAGCACUUCGCUACUGAGUUAUUAACAGAUCAUCUGAUUACCGUACUAUAUAUGAUCAUAGAAAUUGAUAUUUAGACAACAGUUAAGACAAUCACUGUUGUGCUGCAUUGAAACCAAGUGUUAACCUCAUACGCUCUUGUAAAUAAAGAUUCCGAAAAGGGGAUUUUCACAGUGAGUGAUGCCAUAGAAGCACCAUUUGAUUCCCUAAAGAUCUUUCAUCUUUCACAGUUCUUAAAAGAGCAAUUUAGUCAUCAAAAGUACCUUAUAACUGUAAAGAAUCUUUUGUGCUGUAAGAAGGUUCCACGGUUCUUCACAGAAGAAUGGAUGCCAAAGAACUUUUAAGAAUGUAAGGCCACGUUCACACAGCAGCAGAAUACGGUUACAGUCCUGAAUUUGAGCCCUUAAUACAGUUCUGUUCACACACAGUAUGGUUAUCUACAGGUGUGACAACCGCAUUCUGUCACCGAAAUCACACCUGUGAAGUUUCAGGAUUCACAACCGCAUUUUCGAAACACAGGCAAUGUGCGAACAGAACAGGACUGGACAACUAGUUGUCCGUAUCAUAAUAGUGUGGGAGAGAGGUGUUUUGCUGCGAAAACGUGCAUCUACUAUGUGUUUUCAUGUGUGGUAAAGAUCAGAAACUUACAGUAAUAGGGAAAUUAACUUUGUGUCAUCUGAAAGUUUUCUGAAAUUCGGUCAGUUUUUUCUCCACCAGAGCCGCUCCCGUCAGUUUUGUGUUCUGCGCAUGAUUUAAAUGCUCUCUCUCUACCCGAAUACAAAAGCUGCUGUCGUUUAAUGAAGAUCUGAUUGGAUGAACUCGCUGCUCGAUUGGACUGUUGUUGUUGUGGGACUCUUGUCUUGUCAGAAAGUGAUAAGGCUUUAAGUUUUAUGGAUGUCGCCAUCUUUUUUAUAUUACUUUAAUCACUUUGACUCCCAUUGCACGUUCAAACAGACAGCAUUCGAGACGCUACUGUAAGCUGCUGCAAAGACUAUACAAAGACAGUUCACUUCCUGCCCAUUAGGUGGCAGUAAUGCACCUAUAGUUUGUUUUUCAACCACCAAAAACUCCUAAAGAAGAAGUGGAAGAAGAAACCUGAGGCUAGACCGGGGGGCAGGGUUUCAUAUUUUAUUGAAGCAUCCCUGGGCGCCGCCAAUGGCUAGCGGACCCCCACUUGCUGUUAGCAUUCCAUUGACUCCCAUUCAUUUUGGCGUCACUUUGAAAGCGAAUAAAUUUACAUCUGAGGCGUUUAAAGACUCCAUUUGUCCAUUCAUUAUUUAUAAAGAAAAACGAAAUUGUAUGAAAGACCCCAUUACCUUGUAUCUUACGUUAUGGUCCCGUAGAAGCAGUUUUUGUAAAAAAAUAGGCUAACGAUUGUGUCAUAACCAGUGACUCUCUGUCGCACAGACUUAGAGAAAUUACCGUAUGGACAAGAGGAGAAGCUCGCAGAUAAUCUUUUACUGUCUAUGGGGCAAUCGGGGGGACGUGGAGGCAUGAAGUCAAGGGAGAUAAUUAAUCUGAAUACUUACCAAAAUUUGCUCCUGUUCACGCUCGCCUUCUCUGGAAGAUUCGGUGGGUGAUUCAGAUUUCUUUUGGCACAGCUAUUAGAAGACUUACAACGGUCAGACAGGUUGCUCACGUGACAUCUACGUCAUCAAGUUCAGUUUGAGUCUGCGCAGUACGCUCGACCCCCAGGAAGUGUGUGCUUCUAAUUGACUUCACUUGUCUCCGUUGAAUCCAAUGAGGUCGCUGUGUCCAUUUCUUUUACUGUCUAUGAAGCAAACGCAGCUGAAUGAACCUGA
Molecule: long non-coding RNA, 2799 nt
Organism: Carassius gibelio (silver crucian carp)
Lineage: Eukaryota; Metazoa; Chordata; Actinopteri; Cypriniformes; Cyprinidae
Exons: 3
Source: RefSeq, a predicted model, not a curated record